UCCGGAGGGUGCAAUCGUUGUUCGGAAUCACUGGGCGUAAAGCGCGUGUAGGCGGCCUCUUAAGUCUGGUGUGAAAGCCCGGGGCUCACCCCCGGAAGGGCACUGGAUACUGGGAGGCUAGAGUACCGGAGAGGAGGGUGGAAUUCCUGGUGUAGCGGUGAAAUGCGUAGAUAUCAGGAGGAACACCGGUGGCGAAGGCGGCCCUCUGGACGGCUACUGACGCUGAGACGCGAAAGCGUGGGGAGAAAACAGG
RNAcentral lists this ribosomal RNA (253 nucleotides) under uncultured bacterium. RNAcentral describes it as "partial 16S ribosomal RNA". It matches the Rfam family "Bacterial small subunit ribosomal RNA", at positions 524 to 776 of the family's 1533-position model. The record is from RNAcentral.